This 79-nucleotide microRNA precursor is filed under the name Camelus bactrianus (Bactrian camel). RNAcentral describes it as "let-7 microRNA precursor family". It matches the Rfam family "let-7 microRNA precursor family". From Rfam's summary of the family: This family represents the microRNAs (miRNA) let-7 and mir-98. let-7 was identified from a study of developmental timing in C. elegans, and was later shown to be part of a much larger class of non-coding RNAs termed miRNAs. The extents of the hairpin precursors are not generally known and are estimated based on hairpin prediction. The products are thought to have regulatory roles through complementarity to mRNA. RNAcentral also lists the same sequence under 3 other names. The record is from Rfam by way of RNAcentral. Lineage: Eukaryota; Metazoa; Chordata; Mammalia; Artiodactyla; Camelidae.
UUGGGGUGAGGUAGUAGGUUGUAUAGUUUGGGGCCCUGCCCUGCUAUGGGAUAACUAUGCAACCUACUGUCUUUCCUGA